Molecule: ribosomal RNA, 440 nt
Filed under: uncultured bacterium
Lineage: Bacteria
Description: partial 16S ribosomal RNA
Rfam family: Bacterial small subunit ribosomal RNA
Source: RNAcentral
CCUACGGGUGGCAGCAGUAGGGAAUAUUGCUCAAUGGGGGAAACCCUGAAGCAGCAACGCCGCGUGGAGGAUGAAGGUUUUCGGAUUGUAAACUCCUUUUGUUAGAGAAGAUAAUGACGGUAUCUAACGAAUAAGCACCGGCUAACUCCGUGCCAGCAGCCGCGGUAAUACGGAGGGUGCAAGCGUUAUUCGGAAUUACUGGGCGUAAAGAGCGCGUAGGCGGGAUAGCAAGUCAGAUGUGAAAUACUAUGGCUUAACCAUAGAACUGCCUUUGAAACUGUGAUUCUAGAGUAUGGGAGAGGUAGGUGGAAUUCUUGGUGUAGCGGUAAAAUGCGUAGAGAUCAAGAGGAAUACUCAUUGCGAAGGCGACCUGCUAGAACAUAACUGACGCUGAUGCGCGAAAGCGUGGGGAGCAAACAGGAUUAGAUACCCGUGUAGUC